UUGUGCAACUAGUUGCAAAAAGAUGAUUUUUUCAGCACGAGUUGUACGUUUAUCCAACGAGGCUUGCCGAGUUGGAUAAAUACUACGAGUGCUGAAAAAAUCGAGUUUUGCAACGAGUUGCACACGCUAUUUUUUGCAAUGACGAAAAAUGGGCUUUAAUAUGAUAAAUCUUUACCAAAAUUGUACAAUCGAAUUCACUCCACAUGAUCAUUCAUGCUAAUAAAUUAUUUUGCGGCAGAGAACAAUAAGAUUCCAUCUUAUCGUGCCAAAUUGCAUAGCUUGAAAAGCUAUGAAGCGAUGGAUGCAAUUGCCUUUGGAAAAUUGUGAUGUUAUGUCCAACAAACCAUUUCAUUUAUUACGAGACGCUUAGAGUACACUAUUUAAACACUCACCCAAACUAAUUCAGCUAAAUGUAGUCAUGUAACUACUGUCCCAAUGUAGGUUUUUCAUUAUAGCACCCGAAUGAGUGCUAUAAUGAAUAUUAUGCAACCCAUUUGAGUUGCAUAAUGGUCAUUAAAGCACCCAUUCUGUUGGUAUAGAAAAGUAGGCCGUUUUAUCACUCAAAUGACAACUGUAAACCAGGUUUUAUGAUCAGGAAUUGCAAAAAAAAAGUUUUUAUAUUUAAUUUUUUUUUACUCCGUGGAAAACUAAUUCCAUUUAAGCGUGUAAUGUUUUGUUUGUGAUUGGGGAAAAAUAAAAAAAAUCGAACGGUCAAAGUGCAAGACGCUUCUUUGCUUUCCGCUUUUUUGAUUCUGCUAGUGGUUGAAUAGUGAAUCAUUGUCUACUGUGCCUUGUCAUGAUGAACUAUGAAGCUCACUGGAAACCGUAGUUUGCCAUCAAUCGUCAACGUUUUCCAUACAAAACAGCUGCUGCUAUUCAUUUGUCAUAUCCACCGAAUAUAAGAGCUGAUACAGGAUCAGUCCCAAAGAGGAUGCCGGAAGAUAGCGGCCGCAUCAAGCACCGCAAUUAUUACAAUUAGACUACGAACACCAGUACUCUUUACCAGCAGCAACACUUACGGCAUGCUCAGCGAGUAGCUUUGAAGAGUGCUCAGUAUCAGGAUAAAAUAAACUCUAAAAUUUAGUUAAAACUAAAUUUCAAAGCAAAGAAAUAAAAUGAAUUGUAAAACCUUUAAUUGUAUUGUAUUUCUAUUGUACUAUUGGUGUGAGAUGUAUUCCAAAUCGUAUUGUAUUUAUACUGUAAAACUAUAAAAAAAGUAAGAGAAAA
This is a long non-coding RNA of Armigeres subalbatus, 1227 nucleotides long. RefSeq lists it as uncharacterized. NCBI's taxonomy places the organism in Eukaryota, Metazoa, Arthropoda, Insecta, Diptera, Culicidae. The transcript has 3 exons. The record is from RefSeq and is a predicted model, not a curated record.